AGCCCCGAGGUGCAGAGCACGCCGGAUUGCAAAUCCGGAGGCGCAGGUUAGCCCCUGCCGGGGCCU
Molecule: transfer RNA, 66 nt
Filed under: Uranoscopus sp. ZY-2022
Lineage: Eukaryota; Metazoa; Chordata; Actinopteri; Uranoscopiformes; Uranoscopidae
Description: tRNA-Cys
Rfam family: tRNA
About the family: Transfer RNA (tRNA) molecules are approximately 80 nucleotides in length.
Source: RNAcentral